Molecule: ribosomal RNA, 864 nt
Filed under: uncultured bacterium
Lineage: Bacteria
Description: bacterial SSU rRNA
Rfam family: Bacterial small subunit ribosomal RNA
Source: RNAcentral
AGGACGAACGCUGGCGGCGUGCCUAACACAUGCAAGUCGAACGAGGUCCAUCCGGUGGCAACACUGGUGAAGACCGAGUGGCGAACGGGUGAGUAACACGUGAGCAACCUGCCUCGAAGACUGGGAUAACCCCGGGAAACCGGAGCUAAUACCGGAUACCCCCACCGGGUCACAUGGCCUGGUGAGGAAAUGGAUUCCGCUUUGAGAGGGGCUCGCGGCCUAUCAGCUUGAUGGUGGGGUAGCGGCCCACCAUGGCACCGACGGGUAGCUGGUCUGAGAGGACGAUCAGCCACACUGGGACUGAGACACGGCCCAGACUCCUACGGGAGGCAGCAGUGGGGAAUCUUGCGCAAUGGGCGAAAGCCUGACGCAGCAACGCCGCGUGUGGGACGAAGGCCUUCUGGGUUGUAAACCACUUUCAGCAGGGACGAUUGUGACGGUACCUGCAGAAGAAGCCCCGGCCAACUACGUGCCAGCAGCCGCGGUAAUACGUAGGGGGCGAGCGUUGUCCGGAAUUAUUGGGCGUAAAGAGCUCGUAGGCGGCUUGGCAAGUCACGUGUGAAAUCUCCAGGCUCAACCUGGUGAUGCCACGUGAUACUGCCAUGGCUUGAGUCCGGUAGGGGACCAUGGAAUUCCUGGUGUAGCGGUGAAAUGCGCAGAUAUCAGGAGGAACACCAGUGGCGAAGGCGGUGGUCUGGGCCGGUACUGACGCUGAGGAGCGAAAGCGUGGGGAGCGAACAGGAUUAGAUACCCUGGUAGUCCACGCCGUAAACGUUGGGCACUAGGUGUGGGACCCUAUCGACGGGUUCCGUGCCGCAGCUAACGCAUUAAGUGCCCCGCCUGGGGAGUACGGCCGCAAGGCUA